GUCAAGUAGAAAAGGGCGCACGGUGAAUGCCUAGGCACUAAAAGCCGAUGAAGGACGUGACGAACUACGAAAAGCUUCGGGGAGCGGUAAGUACGCAGUGAUCCGGAGAUGUCCGAAUGGGGGAACCCAAUGCAGCGAUGCAUUAUUGGUUGAUGAAUAAAUAGUCAAUCAAAGGAAUACGCAGCGAACUGAAACAUCUAAGUAGCUGCAGGAAGAGAAAGAAAAAUCGAUUUCCUUAGUAGCGGCGAGCGAAGAGGAAAGAGCCCAAACCAAGUGAUUUAUCAUUUGGGGUUGUAGGACUGCAACGUGGCAGCGUGAGUGAUAGCAGAAUUAUCUGGGAAGGUAAGCCAGAGAGGGUGAGAGCCCCGUAAGCGAAAUUGCAAGCGCGCCUAGCAGAAUCCUGAGUAGGCCGGGACACGAGAAAUCCCGGUUGAAACCGCGAGGACCAUCUCGCAAGGCUAAAUACUAAUUAGU
RNAcentral lists this ribosomal RNA (474 nucleotides) under Lactobacillus helveticus. RNAcentral's name for it is "bacterial LSU rRNA". It matches the Rfam family "Bacterial large subunit ribosomal RNA", at positions 1 to 481 of the family's 2925-position model. Lineage: Bacteria; Bacillati; Bacillota; Bacilli; Lactobacillales; Lactobacillaceae. The record is from RNAcentral.